UUAUAUAUUUUCAUUCUUCUAUGAGAUAAACUUAUUUCAAUGAUCAAUAAAACUACCAAUUAGUUUGUAUAGGUAUGCGAAAUAAAUUUGGAAUGUAUGAAAGACAACAAAAACAAUCGUAUUCUUAUGAACAUACAAUUGUUUUCUAAGAAUGUUAUUGUUACAGCAAUAACAUAUAAGUACUUGACCUAUUUGAUAGAUACAAAAAAAAACUAUUUAAAAUAAAUUAUUGAUUUUCAAGUUAACGAAAUUCCUUUGACAAAUUUAUUAGUUGUUAGAACGAAUUCAUAGCGGGAAGUGAAUAAACAAUGUUUUAAAUUGAAAACAAAAUCGUUACACGUGCUACAUUUUGUAUGGGUAUGUUUGAGUCUGCCGGUUUGGUCGUAACACAAACUGCAAACAUGUGCAAUAUCGCAAAACAUAAUUAAAAUAGAAAAAACACGUUUUCUUGCGGCGACGGACCGGCACGCGUAGGUUGCAAAAAAUGCAUUGUUGGCGAGCCGUCGCCCGGCCGCGAGCCGCAGAACUUGUGUACUUACAAGUUCUGUGCGCGACGGCGUUCAUCACCACAUAUCACUGUCGAGCUUUAUUUUAUCAUCGACCGACUGACCUUCAUGGACAUAGUAGAAUAUCUAUUGUUAGAAAAUUUACUUUGUAAGUGAUUUGUUAAUAUAUAAAGUUUAAAACAACUCAAAGAGUUCGCCCUACUGUUGACUUAUUUAUUUUGGACGAGAUUAAAGGUUGUCUUGGAAGUA
Long non-coding RNA from Melitaea cinxia (Glanville fritillary), 755 nucleotides. RefSeq lists it as uncharacterized. The record is from RefSeq and is a predicted model, not a curated record. NCBI's taxonomy places the organism in Eukaryota, Metazoa, Arthropoda, Insecta, Lepidoptera, Nymphalidae. The transcript has 2 exons.